Molecule: ribosomal RNA, 301 nt
Filed under: uncultured bacterium
Lineage: Bacteria
Description: partial 16S ribosomal RNA
Rfam family: Archaeal small subunit ribosomal RNA
Source: RNAcentral
CAGUCGCGCGGUAAAACCAGCAGCCCAAGUGGUGGUCGCGAUUAUUGGGCCUAAAGCGCUCGUAGCCGGGCCGGUAAGUCCCUUGUGAAAUCGGACGGCCUAACCGUUCGGCGUGCAAGGGAUACUGUCGGUCUUGAGGCCGGGAGACGUCCGAGGUACUCCGGGGGUAGCGGUGAAAUGUUCUGAUCCUCGGGGGACCACCGGUGGCGAAGGCGUUCGACGAGAACGGGCCUGACGGUGAGGGGCGAAGGCUAGGGGAGCAAACGGGAUUAGAUACCCCAGUAGUCCCUGUCUCUUAUAC